This is a non-coding RNA of Drosophila virilis, 9012 nucleotides long. Lineage: Eukaryota; Metazoa; Arthropoda; Insecta; Diptera; Drosophilidae. The record is from RefSeq and is a predicted model, not a curated record.
AUUGACAUACUGUAUAUGUAAAAAUAAAAAUCUACAAAAUUGCUUAAAAAACUGUGAUGGACGUCAGACUCUGACACUUGACACGUGCUCAGUUGCAGGUAUAGCGCCAGGCGGCGUAUGCAUACAUACACAUGUAUAUCAGAGGGUCAGGGAUAAGUGUGACUAAAAUCUAAACGCAAUUAAGUAAAUUCAUCAAAUUAUAAUUAACACGAAUGCCACGCAAAACAUUAAUAAAGUGUUACUACUUCCACAAGGCAAAUGGCAUAUAGAGGGCAUACAGACAAGCUUCCAGCACAUUGAUGGAAAUAAUCAUCAAAUCAUGGUUUUAUAAUUAAGCAACAUUUUUAAUUAUGAACCCAGUGAUAAGUCCAGUAAUCAGGUAAUCCUUAAUUGUAGUUAGUAACGCCGUUCUUCCAUUUCGGUUUAAACUACUGAGUAAAGCCUGUUAAAGCUUCAUUCUCUCAAUCAUUCGUCAAGGUCAUCAAAAGCCCGCCAAAAUUAUUUGGACACACAUGUAUCUAAAAAAGUUGUUAACAUUUGGUAUACAUUAUGAAUGCAUCUAAAAAAAAAUACCCAAUUCGGGUAAAUUCUUUGGCGAUCAUGAUCUAAAAAAAAAAAAUGAGUUUCCUGGCCCUAUUUGUAUGCCCUGUACGCAGCUCUCUACUCAGGAAUCAAUGUCAUAGCAUGUCACUGGCAAAAUAUCUAUGUUUUCGUCAGUAUAUAUGUAUAUUAAAUUUAUUAUGCAUUUCAAAAUUUAUAGAACUAACAAUUAUCAUCGUCAAAAUUAACACCACAUUGUUGUUGUCAAGCACGUUUGAACAAAUAGCAGAAUGUUAAAAUGGUUCGAUGUUGCGCUUAGUUCGAGGUUGUGUCGCUUGUAGCUUGUGACAGUGUAACAGUGCCAUUCUGAGUUAGCAAUAACGUAAUACGCAAACUUCACUUUUAGUUCAUAUCAAAAAAAAAAAAAAAUCAAAUAAGCUGUAUUCGCUUUUCAAUUAUUUUCUUGUGUUGCAUUGAAGCGUUACUCAUUUAGAUAUGUUGCUCUCAAACCAAUUACGAACUUGGUUAAUUGGUUUAAUGCUGCACGCUUGGUUCGAUGUUGUCUUGCAACCGGUUGCCUGCUUAACAUUUGUGUGCUAACAAUAACAUACUAUGUCAACGUCGCUGUUAAUUCAAUUCAAAAAAAAUUUUGAAUUUCCGCCCGCCUGUUUCUCAAUUUUUUUCGUGUUUCUCAAUUCUUAUUUGGCGCUCGAUCGCGACGGUCACCAUCGGUGCAACUGUUGCUCUCACACCCAGUGCCAGUGUGCACACGCGUUCAUACAUGUGUAUGUAUGUUCGUAUUUCCGGUGUCAAAAAACCAUAAAACGAAUAAAGUGUAAAGAUUCAAUUAUCGGUUAUUCAUAAAAAUACCAAGCGUCGUAUACUUGCAUAUAUUUUAUAUCAAUAUAAUUGAAUCUGUGUCUGUAUGUGUGUGUGCGCGCGGCGACUGGCGCCAACAUCGAUUUAAUUAUAAAUACAUCAACAAUAAUAAUAAUAAUAAUAACAAGAAUAGCACCAUCGUUGAUAUGUACAUAAAUACACUCGUACAUACAUCACAUACAUCUACAUCUACACACACUGUGCACUAUUGUUACACACGCUGGUAGGCGUUGCUUUUUGCCAUAUUUCUCUCUCGUCGCCAUCACGCGCUGCGGUACAAAGUUAAACUCGCCGUUGGCGUCGGAAACACACCCGUAAAAAGCCAGCAGCUCACUGCUGGGGUAUCUGCAUUCAUAAGGAAAUGUGUCACUCGACAAUUGAAUAGAAUCGAACUGAAUUGGAAAUGGUUUCAAAUCAAAGCUUGCAGAUCAACUCAGCUUGAAUUUGGGAAUGGUUUCUGCGUUUUAAGCUGAAGAAUUCCCAGCUUUGGCUAAAUUAUAAUUUAACAUAAUAAUACUAUGUGCUACGUGAAACAACAAAUAUGUUAUAGUUUAAUCUGUUUGCUUGCAAUUACUUAUUUGCAAGGACAUCUGUUCACAUCUUACCGGGCAGCAUUAGAUUCUUGAUUUAAAUAAUUCUAAUACUGUCAGGUAAAGAUGUCGUCCGUGUCCUUAUACAUCAUAAAUCCAAAAUAAAAGAAAGAGUUUUUUUUUUUUUUUUGAAUGCAAUUUAAUUUGCGAAAAACCAUAGCCGAAAACGUAAAUCGUAAAACAAGUUUUUCAAUUGUGCGUGUAGGAAAACUUGCCAAGCCUGCGAUUGCCAAAGGGCGACAGGCAGAGCAAGGCGGGGCAGGGCAGGGAAGACCGCCAAACUGGCAGAUCUCCCUGCCUGCGACUGCGGAUGCCAUGGACGAACAACAGAAAAAUUGGUCAAAAUGUUGUAUAUACCAGAAUACACAUAUAUAAGUAUAUAUUAUUUGCAGCAGCAGAGGCUCGUUUUUUUGGAUGACAUCAGUUGAGAGAUCUUCGAUGACACCGGACUACUGCUGCCUGUGUGUGUGCGAGUGUGUGUGUGUGUGUGAGCGCGUGUGACUGUGUUUCUGUACGUGAGCAGGUAUACAUUAUGUAUAGGAAACACAAAGAGAUAGCCAGCGACAGGGACCAAGCGACCAAGUUAAGUGUAGUGCCCAUAAAAAUAUAUAUUUUAUGGUUCCGCUUCUUUUUUUGUUUUAGCCCCGAUCUCAGUUCCUUUUUUCUUGGCUCAGCAUUUCAUUUUAUUGUUUUGUCACAGACUGACGACGGAUUUCUUAAUUUCUGAACAAUAUUUAGUGACAAAAUAUGCCAGCCAAUAAAUUUGAUGACGCCUAGCGCCCACACAGAAACCCGCACAGUUCGCAUAGAAAGCAGAUUCGACAUUCCUCAAAAUAUUAUGUAUAUACAAAAAAGUGAAAUAAUAAUAAACCAAUUUCAUUUUAGUUAUGGGACAUUGAGCAAUUUAAUUCUAGAAACGAACAGGGCACAGAUUUACUUCUGCUCACUUUGUAUUGCAAACUAAAUUCGAGUUCUUAUGUUACAAUGAAUUCGACACUUAGUUAUGUGUGCACAGCUAAUCAACUAGCUGACUGAGAUGAGCUAACAAACAACUGGCAGUACUCAUCUAUAACUUGGUCAGCUCAUCCCAAGAUAAGAUUGGACGCAUUGGGGGCAACGGGAACGACAAGGUAAAAGCCACUCGUUAAAAAGCUAAACAACCAAGGCAAUUGUCAAUAGUAUACGACACAGAAUACAACUGUACAGACAACCGACUGUUGGGAAUGUCUAUACAUACAUGUGUACGUAUAUAUAUAAUACAACUUAGAUAAUACUAACACCCUGAAGUAUGGGCUGUAAACGGUUUACAACGCUCUCAACUUUUAAAGUUCUUGGCACAGUGCUUCCCAUUUGUCAAUAGGGCGGGGGAAAUCUAAUCAAGGUAACCGAAAAAUACGUAAAAUACGGCAUUGCAAUGGGCGUUAGUUUCGGUCGCCCCGUCGAGACGAUUCCACGCCAGAACGAUAACGUAACCGGAACGAAUAUAACACCUGUUAAUGAACCUGCCAGCGAUACUAAUGAAGAAGGCGCACUCUUUUUUCUCUUUAACUAACUCGCCAAAAGUCAAGCGUAUAUAGCGGUCGAGGGUAAGAAGCUCUUAAUCCAAAGUGAAUGCUAAACCCUAACCCCUCUGUGUAGGUUCAAUUCAACCAAGUUGAAUUCAAUUGAGCCCAGCCCUGACUGCAUAUGAAAUGCGCUAAACUUUGAACCGCAUUUGUAAUUCGAUCAAGUUGAACCGUAUCCAAGUGGAGGUUACAUUAACAUUAAUACUGCGACUAAAGACCAGUUGGAAAAAGAACUUUAAGUAUUUCCAAUAAAUUGGCACAUUAGACACAAUUAAAACAAGUUUAACCUAAGGCUGUUAUGGACCUUAGGUCUAACAAAAUAAUGCACUAAAUUAGUCAGAACAAGAACACUUAAAGCUGACUAAUUUGUAUUUUGAAUGCAAUCAUACACAGAUGUUCUCCAUAAAGAUAAAAUAACAAAUUGUAUACUUCUAAUAUACUAAUAGCUAAGCAAGCAAUCACUCAUUGAGAGAAGUAUCCGGCCUCGAAUCCCUGGCUGCUUUAUGGAUGUCUCAUUAGCCUAUCCGAAGGUCAUUACAAUAUAAUAAUUACAAUUAUAAUAAUAAUAAUUAAAAAUAUAUUAUUAUUUCACAACUCAACUGCAAUUUUCAAUACUAAUCGAAAAGAUUGGCGAUACCCUGAACUACGCCUGUAUUAUAUAAUACACAUACACACACAUCAAUCAGCUUUAAGUGUUACGCGUAGGAUCCAUAACAAAAUAAACUCGGCUAUUUCACAACCCAGGCCGGCAUGAGUUGCCCGAUGACAAUCAAGAACUUAACUCGGGCAAAUAGAAAACCAUGCCGAUAGGGAAACACUUCACCAGAAUAUAUAUAUGUAGAGUGCCCUCUCGAGGAGGGGAGGAACUUUACUCUACUGUUCAAUGCGAUUGUAUCGAUUGGGUGCUGUUAAUCAAAAAUGUGACCAGAGCACUUGAUAUCCACGCGUCAAUGAUAAUGAUGACUUGCCUGGCAACCAGAGCAGUAUCCCAUAAAACCAAAAACCGGAGGGUCCUAGCCAAAACUUAGGUUAGCCAACCCGUAUUUCAUAACGAAAAUUAAUUACAUACUAUAAUCGAAUGGGUCUAUCUGAGUCAAUGGCACUCGAUCAAAAUGGGUCCAGCAAUUCAUUUGAAAUUCGAAAGUUGUUUAGGACGUAUUUAUGGUUUUUUAAGAAAUUUAUUGGAUUUUAGAAUGAACCAUGAAAUUUGUUAGGAAUGACAUUCAUACGUGGCCUUUUACCAUACCUUAUCACAGAGGCUUUUAAAUAAAUGUACAUUCCGACAAAAGUAACGCCAGUGUAUCAAAAAUGUGUUGGUCACCGUUUGGCCAUUGCGGAGGGUAUCUAAUCACAUACAGUAAAGUGUAUCUAAUCAUGGCCUCUAAGUGAACUGCUAGAGCACUAUACGGUAAGUAUCUAAUCGCGACAUUAGCCAUUGAUAAAGUUAUAUUAGACUCGGACGCGAUUGUUGCUGGCGCCUUAAGUUCCAGUACUAGCUAGAUUCUACAUGAAUGCCUUUUAGCCAAAUUGACCCCUUACUAUGCAAUACAAAGGUCUACACUGAUAUGCACAGAGGAACUUAUGAUUGUUGAAUAUAUCACAUUGUGGAUGAAUUUCCCUACUUCUUCAUAUAAUGCAGGCAACAGAAGAAUUUAAAAUGAAAAGGAAGAUACUUAGCUGGAGCUUAAUAGGGGGAAGGUUAAUUAAGGUCAAUUAAAGGCCAACAUAUUAUUCCGACCUAUUGAUUAGAGCUGAACUGAUCACAACAUUUGGGGGAGAACAGCUGAAAAUUUCAAUUAAAAAUGCAGCCUGUGUCUUCGAGGUAUAUUGAACCCGCAUGGUAAAGGUAUCAGCAGGGCUUUGUAGAAUUUGGCAUCAAAGAAGACUCAGAGCCGUUAAGCUGGUUCUCUCCGGCCACUAGGAGUUUCUUUUUCUGUAUGCAUAAAUUAGUUAAACACUAAUUUCCAAUUCCGAUUUCAGUCAUGCAAAUGUUAAUUGACCACUUAAGUUAAAACUUCAUAAUGAUCGUUAAUAAUACCGAGCACGAUCGCGAAGAGCGUCCACCCCAGCGACAAACUGUAACCAAAAGAACAGGUUCAAAUUUAAGUUAACUGACCAGUGAGCCCUUCCACCAGCCCCCAGUGAUCUUCUUGGGCUCUCCAAGCUCGUAAAAGAUAUGCAGCCUAUAACCAACUUACUUAGCACAAAUUAUACACACACAUAGAUAAAGUAUUCACACACACAUACAUACUGGCGAAACCUGAGAGACCUGUAGCCGGAGGCUCUUAACUGUGCAUUAAUGAUCUUUUCUGCUAGCUCAUUUUUCGCAUCGUCUCUUUUAUUAAUACCCUCUACCCAUAAAAUGGGCUAAAAUAGUGUGCUGUCAACAAGCCGAAGAAGGUAUCUCUGACGGGCAUAACUACUUAUAAAUGUUACUUCUCUUGAUCAGCCAAAUAAUAGCCAAAGCUUAAAACUUUCAACUUUUAAUACUUGCAAUUCCCUUUACUGCCUUAAAUAAAAUAUCAGGAUAUAUAGGUUUAAACGUAUUCUAGGAACAGAAUCUGUAUAUAGUUACAAGGACAUAUAUACUAGCUUCUAUGCUAAGCCCAAUUACAUAUUUUCUAUCGUUCACUGUUAGAUUUUAUUUAAGAUAAAGAUAAAGUGGCCAAAUCACCCAAACAUUGAACAACUGGGAUUAGCAUCCCAAAAUAGUCUUGAUAUACAUAUCCAAAUCUUAACCAAUAAAUUUUAAUAUUUCAUAUAAAUCUAUAUCAUAUUAAAUAUAUGAGUUGAGUUUCUGUGAAUAAUUGCUAUAUCAUGGCUUUUAACGAAAGCCAAUCAACUUAUUUCCUGCUUGUUUAACUGCACUGAUCGCAGCUCGUCUGAAAUGGGUCAAAUUGUAGUUAACAAAGUGCAGGAGCAACCGGCACAUUAACGUCCAUUUAUCAACGGGCCAAGUGGAUCCGACCACAUGACUCGUGCCACCUACCACUGACGGCGGCAGGAACAACAAACAAGAAAUGAACAUUUCCUCGGCACGCCGAAGAUUAAAUACCCUUGCAGACAUGUGGCUUAAAAGCAAGUGAGUGGUACAUUUUAAAACUGAUUGGAAUAUGUUGAAAGCAUAGUCAAUUCUGAAGAAUAUAUAUUGAAAAACGAAAUGGUUUUUAUGCACGCUCUAAGCCGAUUAGAAAACAUAGAAAGAGUCAUGCAUAAUUUCCUGAUGUCUUUUAAAUGGAAAGACUAGUUAGCAUCAAAGCAGACAUAUGGACAUGACAUUAUCGGCUGUUUAUACCGUCAAUUAGCAUACAUUCCUUAUGCGUUACACACUUUGUGACAAAAUGAUUGUACCCUAUGCUAGGGUAUACAAAAUGCAAAAACUGCUGCGCCAUGGCAGACAAUUGGCUCUCCAAAACGUUGCUUAGCGCAACUAAAUCUUCUCUUAGCCGCAGAUAAUUGAACGUCCAAUUUGAAGUUAAGCAUUCCCGCCGCCCCUGUUGCAACCGUUUGCUGGAAUUGGGAAUCUAUCUGUACAUGCUCUAGAGUAAGAGCCCGUGCCCAUUCUUGUUGCAUCCACAUUCACCUGCCCUGCUCGUGGGCACGCCCGCUGAUCAUCAAAUUAGCAUUGUUACAGUGCCUACUUGGACCUUAGCUCUGGAAUGCGCAUAUUUCAAUAUGUUUACUCAUGAGUUAGCUGUUUAGUCCGUAGGUAUUUUAAAAAUACUUUCCAAUAGUGGCUGUACACUAAAUUCGAUUUUGUUAAUCUCUGAAAGAUCUUUAUUAUAUUCAUUUGUAUUUAAAUUAAAUUUUUCUACAUUUUAUUUAUUAUGUUUCAUAUGACUUUUCCAUUAUGAAGAGCUACUAACAAAAGUUUUGUUUGUCUUGUAAUUUACAUUUGUUGUCCACUUAGCAUAUGAUAUUUACAUGAGCCUCUAUAUGCAUUAUGGAUAUAUAUGCCUAUUACACAUGUAUUGGGGCCAUGAUGGCAGCACCCGGCUGGGCCACGCGUGUGUGGCUAAUACGCUGGGCUAUGCUAGUAAUUAAAAGCGUUCAUGUUUUGGUUUCCUUUUGUUGCUAUUAUUUGCUUGUAUAUUAGGUGAAAUUCGCUGGGUUGAACUAAUACAAAAACUAGCGUAAAUGAUGCUGAACAAAUUGAGUACACACAAAAAGAAAUACGUAACAGUUGUAUGGGAAUGCCUGACUAGGAUAUACUCUGAACCUGCUAAAUCAACUUCUUCUAUACAUAUAUAUGAAAAAAAAAACAUAAGCACAUACGGACUUUAAGCAGAGGUUGUGCUUCUAUAUCGCGCCACAAACUAUGCCACAUUUCGGAUUGAGUAUAUAUAUUUCAAUUUCGAUUUCAAAAAUUGAAAAUAAAAAAAUUAGGAUCUAUCCGAAAGGGAAAUAUACCAAAUUUGGUGCAUCUAAUUCUUAUAAUCUUCGAGAUAGGCUGUUAAGACCGAGAAUGUAGAUUUAAAAUUGAAGUUUUCGACCUUAACGAUUUUUUGGAAUUACCUCUAAGGGACUUCAUUUAAUUUAAGAUUUGGCCGCCUUUCAACCAACUUGGCAUGCCCCCAGUAGACGACAGUAAAAUUUGUUUAAAUUGAACUUUAGAGGAGCUUAUCAGUCGAUCUUUUUCACCACAGCUGUAACCUAUAGACUAUAUAUCUUAAUAUGUUAUUUGACGCAUGCAUAUUCAAGACAUAUUCAAAGUUUCAAGGCAAGUCAAGAAAGAGGCCGGCGGCUGACAAAGGCUGACUGCUACGCCAUCAGUUAUGCACCUGAUCGACCAUCUCAGUGAGCAAUUAGCAGGCAAGAGAUCUAGGCACUAUCAUUAUGAAUAUGUAUGAAUUACUUUUAUAAACGAACUGCCAACCCCAGCAGCUACACUUGUACAAUACACACACACAUUAAUGACAAAUUAUAUACACGAUUAACUAUCGCGCUGUAGAAAAAUCACACACAUAUAUAUACGUAUAAAUUUAACACGUAAAAAAUUAGAUAAAUUUGCAUAGAAAUUGCAAUGAACCUUAACUCAAAAGUGGCAGCACAAGAAGAAGAACAAGAAGCAAAGGAACGAAAACAACAACAGCUACAGCUAACAACUAGCAGGUGGUAACAGGUUAAUACAACACUGUCCAACAAAAAGUUGCUUUCUGGACCGAAAUCAUGGCAUAUUAAAUAGAAAAUGAGUGUUGCGUGUUGCAUGAAAACUUGCUGUAGUUGUUGUAAUUAUUAGCAAGUCUAACCCGUAGCUGACAAACGACAUAAAAUACUUACAAGUGCAUAUGAAACAAGAAAGAACUCUUAUUCCCGGCACGCCGAAGAUUGAAUACCCUUCCGUAGACCCACAAUCCUUGCCAAGAUAUAUUAAAAAAAUAACUUGUUCAAACAUUAAAUUAUAUUGUCGACAAUAAAAUGCGAAUUUGAACAACAAA